Molecule: long non-coding RNA, 435 nt
Filed under: Musa acuminata (dwarf banana)
Lineage: Eukaryota; Viridiplantae; Streptophyta; Magnoliopsida; Zingiberales; Musaceae
Description: long non-coding RNA (MACU_LNC000840)
Source: RNAcentral
UCGGUGACUUCACCAGCCUCUUAUCGACAGGGAAGACCCCAGAGAUGGCGUUCAUCACGAACUUGGACGGAUCGAUGCAGUCCGCGAGGGCCACAGGGAGUUCCGACCGGAGAAGCUCCACAUCCUUCCUCUUCGCCACCACGAGGUCGAAGAACCCGUCGAAAUCCAUCUUAGUGCAAAGAGAUCGCAGCUUUUCGGGGAGACCAAGCUCGUCCCCGUCGGCAGCGGCGGCAGCGAGGGCCUGUACGGCGGCGACACGGCGCUCGUCGAGCUUGGAUAGGGCGAGGUCGACGGCGGCGUCGAUGGAGAGCUCGCGGCGGCGGAGGGAGCCGAGAGUGCGCCGGGUGGAGGCGUCGAGGGACUGGCGCUUGGACCGGAGGGCCUCGGACUUGAUCUCGAGCCCCCGUUCGAGGGUGGAGAAGUGGUCGGACAGCU